UUUUUUUUUUUUUUUUUUUUUGAGAUGGAGUCUCGCUCUGUCACCCAGGCUGGAGUGCAGUGGUGUGAUCUCAGCUCACUGCAACCUCCACCUCCUGGGUUCAAGUGAUUCUCCUGCCUCAGCUUCCUGAGUCGCUGGGACUACAGGCAGGAUGAUAGCUCACUGUAGCCUCCAACUGCUGGGCUGAAGUGAUCCUCCCACCUCAGCCUUCCAAGUAGCUGGGAUUAUAGGCAUGCACCAUCACACCUGGCUAAUUAAAAAAAAAUUUUUUUUUUUUUUGUAGAGAUGGGAGUUUUGCUAUGUUGCCCAGGCUGAUCUCAAACUCCUGGUCUCAAGCGAUCUUCCUGCCUCGCCCUUCCAAAGUACUGGGAUUACCGGCAUGAGUCGCUGUGCCUGCCCCAUCCCCUGAAACUUCUAAUGCUAGAGACUUCUAAGGUGAGCAAGUAGUCCCUGGGACAGGAAUGCAAUAAUAAAAGGAAAAGAUGGCAAAGUCUGUCUACUCUUUCUGGGCCUUGGGAGGGUGAGCCUAGCACCAGGCUGUGCUGGUGGGGGCUGGAGGGAGGCCAGUGAAGCUACCAGGUAAGACUGGACAGAAGGGCUUGUCCCAGGAGGUCUCCUGAUCCGUUUCUUCCUCUUCCAUCCUACAUUGUGUGACCUUGAGUGACUCUCUUCCCUCUCUGUGCCUUGAUAUUUAUUUUCCCACAUGUAUGAACUGUGAGGGUUUAGGGUUCCCUGAGUCACUGAAGCAACAAUCAUAUAGAGUGAGUUUCUGUAAUGUGGGGGCCACCUGCACCCGGUCGCUCAGUGUGGGCAGACCUCAGUCUAGGGACUUGAGAGAGCAGGAAGCUGAUUUCUGGAGGGGUCUGAUGGGGGAAAACAGGAGCUGAGACAACCAGCAUCCACCUCCCAAAUCCUCCUUCUGCUCAGGGCUCCCGGACUGUGCUUCCCAUUUUCCACCCUCUCCACAGCGUGGCUGGAGUCUAGAGGUCAGAGCGCUGCAGUCUAUUUUUUUGUUUUUUUUUUUGUUUUGUUUUGAGACAGGGUCUUGCUCUGUUGCCCAAGCUGGAGUGCAGUGGCGCAAUCAUGGCUCACUGCAGCCUCAAACUCCUGGGCUCAGGCAAUCCUCCUGUCUCAGCCUCCUGAGUAGCUGGGAUUACAGGUGUAUUCCACCAUUCCCAGCUUUCUUUCUUUUUUUCUUUUUUUUUUUUUUUAAUUUUUGUAGCAACAGGGUCUUGCAAUGUUGCCCAGGCUGGAGUGCAGUGGUGCUAUCAUGGCUUACUGAAGCCUUGGACUCCUGAGUGAUUCUCCUACCUCAUCUCCCUCAGUAGCUGAGACUACAGGCACAUGCCACCAUGCCUGGCUCAUUAAAACAAAAAAAAAAAUUUUUUUUUUUCUCGUAGAGAUAGAGUCUUGUUCUGCUGACCAGGCUAGUCUGGAACUUCAGGCCUCAAGUGAUCCUCCUGCCUCAGCAUCCCAAAGUGCUAGGAUUACAGGUAUAAGCCACCGCACCCUGCUUGGGGUCUACUUUUGGAUCUACCUCUAAAUAGCUGUGUGACCUUGAACCAGUCGGAGGUUCAAGGAGCUGCAGUUUCUCCUGUAAGCAUCAGAACCCAGAAAUUCCUGUGGGGUUCAACCAUCACCUGGGAGUGACCACAUCACUGGCCUCAGUCUCAAGACCAAGAUGGAUUUUUUUUUUCCGAGAUGGAGUCUCACUCUGUCACCUAGGCUGGAGUGCAGUGGCAUGAUCUCCGCUCACUGCAACCUCUGC
RNAcentral lists this long non-coding RNA (1768 nucleotides) under Macaca fascicularis (crab-eating macaque). RNAcentral describes it as "lncRNA (ENSMFAG00000051466.1)". Lineage: Eukaryota; Metazoa; Chordata; Mammalia; Primates; Cercopithecidae. The record is from RNAcentral.